UCGCACGCCACUUCCCUCAGCCUGUAGAACUUCCGGCAGCAACUGCAAUUAGGGGUAGUCCAGUGCCAAAUUGUCGCAGCCUUGAAAAUAUUCUGCUUCGUUAUUUCGGGCACUCCACAGAUUCUGUUGCGAAGGCAGCCAUCUUUAGUUCGUCUUUCCUAGAGAGCGUUGAGAAGAUUCUGCUCCAUUUUUUCUGAUUAUGGAUUCUGUUCAGAAGGAAGCCGAAUUUUAAGUCAUCGUUCUAGGAUAGAUUCAGCUCCAUUUUCUCUGGUGGUAGAUCUCCAUGGAUGCUAUUGAGAAGGUACUUCUCAAAGUCCACGAGGACAAGGAUAUCUUUCCACCGAAUGCCACCUGGUUUAUAACAAAAGCAUGAAAAACAAACAGGAAUUUCUCAAUGCAGAAAGGACUGAAGCUGUCAAAAGUGUGCUUUUUUUCUGCACAAACAAGUUUCCAUUGAAUGAUAGAAUAAAGAGAUACUGACUUCCCUGGAGCCUCCAAACUUGAGUAGUCAGGUGUACUUAUUGGAGCUGACCAGCCUUCACAUGCUGGGUUUGAGAAUGCCUGGACUCUGCCCGUCAAUUCUCUCCUUCUGGGGAAUAUGUUUGAAGGCAUUGGGAUCCGUGGAAGGCUUGUUAAAUCCAAAUAGAUUGGUCCUACUCCAUCCGCAGAGUUGCUGACGAGGUGCGUCCAGGCCUUCUCCUCACCUCUCAGGGAGAUAUACCAUGCAGUGCCUUCAGUUAUGGUGUUGUGACUGAGGAUGCUUCGGUCAGACAUGUCCCUGAAAACCUGCAUAGAGGAAUCUCUUGCCCCAAGUUUCAUUCCAAGUAUUUAAAUUGGAAUUGAGCAUCCUGUCAUGCCAGGGAUGAGAAUGCCUGGGUUACAUCAGUUAGCCCUCUCCUCUUGAGGAAUGGCAUAUUACCCAUUUUAGGUGGAUUCCUUGCUACUGCCCUGCUGUGUAGAAACAAAAAUUUUGUUCCCUGAGACUAGGAUGACAGUUUGUACAAGGAGCAUGGGAUCAAGGAUAUCACAGCAGAUUUAUUUCAGGAUGGAAGGUGACUCUCUGGGAGUUAACAUGAGCAUUGUUCCACACACUUAGUAAUUCCCAUGUUAUUAGAGUUGGGGAAAGAACUGUGUCCACAUGGCACACCAUUUAUUAAUGGGUACCUCAAUGCUACCACAGGUUUGAUUAUUAUUUUAGAGGAUGUCAACACAACUUGGAAAGGCCUUUGUACUGAUGCUUACAGUACAUUACAGUUUAAGAACACAGAUGAAAAAUCACCAAGUAAAAAAGGAGCAUAGGGAGGAAUCCAGGAGAAACCAGGCUCAAGCUUCCAGCCACCCUCUUCCAGUGGAGUCAAGUGCACUGCACUUAAUUCUCCCAGCCAGGUGUGCGGCCACCUGUGCCAAGUGUUCCCAACCAGCUGCACUUCAAGGGAAGUUAUUGAAUAUGUCCUAUCCAACUAAAACAAGGAAAUGAUGAAAAAAAUAAAAUCACUUUCCAGAGGCCUCAGGGCUAACUGGAGACAGAGCUCAGACUGCAGCUGAGAAAAGUUGGACUCCAAAACCUGUACUCUGAGCUUUACUGCAUGAGAAAGUUAUUGAAAUGUGCCUUGUGACAUUCAGAAUAAGUGACUUUUCAGAGGUCUCAGAGUCAGUAAGAGACAGAACUCAGAUUGUAACCAAGAAGAACUGAACUCCAAACUUCUGUGUCCGGAAUUGGUGGGUUCUUGGUCUCACUGACUUCAAGAAUGAAGCUGCAGACCCUCGCGCAUACCUGCCAUGCAAGAAAUGUGAAAAGUUCUUCGGAGAGAAGGAAAAUUAUAUAGGUCAGAAACUGAGACCUACAUAAGGAAAGAAGAGCAUUGGAUGAAGAAGAAAUAAAUAAAG
Long non-coding RNA from Pan troglodytes (chimpanzee), 1887 nucleotides. RefSeq lists it as uncharacterized. The record is from RefSeq and is a predicted model, not a curated record. The transcript is spliced from 13 exons. Lineage: Eukaryota; Metazoa; Chordata; Mammalia; Primates; Hominidae.